Long non-coding RNA from Coturnix japonica (Japanese quail), 4085 nucleotides. RefSeq lists it as uncharacterized. The record is from RefSeq and is a predicted model, not a curated record. Lineage: Eukaryota; Metazoa; Chordata; Aves; Galliformes; Phasianidae.
CGUGGGCAUCCUCCAGAUCCACAUCACAGCGGAGCUCACAGCUGCUGUCGGUGGACAAUGAUUGUGGGAACGGGGUAAAACAGGGGCUGGGAAUCACAGCGCUUUGAGAGCCUGAACCAGAAACCAAAGCUCUGCCUCAGAGCUGUGCUCCACGUGGGCACGAUCCCUGCACGACACAGCCUGCAAGGCAAGCACGUGUCUAUUAAUUAGGACAAGGGAUUAUCACAUGUAUAUGAUCAUACACCCGCUGCUGCGGUUGGGGCCGUAUCAGCAGCGCAGCACACAGCACGACUUUCCCCCAACUUUAAGCCAGCUGCAACUGGACAGCGACGGCGUGUUUAGUAAUCGCUUCGCAGCCGAGGCUCUCAGAGGCCGCUGAUGUUUCCUUGGGCAGGGCCGGGCACCGCGGUACCUCAGCGUGAGAGGAAAAGCAACAGGGCUGGGAAGCGGCGCCGUUACUACGAAAGGAAGUUAUUUCAGGGCGAUUUCUGAAGACCCCUCCGCAAGACGUGGCUGCGAGCGGCCGCGGACACGCGGGGCCCGGCCCGUUCCCGCGGCUGCAGGCCGAGCUGCUCAAGGAGCUGUCAAUGUUUCCAGGGCAGGGUGAAGAGAAGGGAUUUGGAAGUAUCUGGAAGCUGCGUGUUUUCUGCCUAGAUGAUGUGAAAGGCUGAAGAGCCAAUGCUGUGAUUGCACUGGAAGGAAUUAGUCAUCACAGUGAAUCUGAGAGGCUUCAUGGAUUUUGGAAAGCAAUGUGUAUCUGCCUACUUGUUUCAAGACUGGAUUGCUCUACCAAGAUUUAUCUCCCUGCUCAGCUAACGUACUUAACCAAAGUGGAAACAAGCAAAACCUCUGACCUCUGGAGCUGUAGGUAACUUCCUUUUUCAUGUAGUUCUUAGGCACUGGAAGCUUCAUAGCAAAAAUGCUUUCAUGCUCGUUGCGAGAGUUUUUGGAGAAUUACAGAGAUUUUGCUCUUUAUUCAAUAGUGCAGGGGAUGGUCACUGACACAAGUACUACAGCACACUCACUAAAUGUCAGCCAUCCUCAGAAACACUGCAUGCAGUCAACAUCAUACUCUAAGCUGACAUGCAUGGCAUUCACCAGCCUUCAUUUGCAAGCACACCCAAUGCAUUAAGAAUUAUCCUGGUGGUUCUGGUUCAGCACAGAAGCACACAGCCAGAAAUGGGACAGUGUCUGUCACAACACAGUGAAGAAGCUGCUGUAGGCACUGCACACACCUACAGACAUGUGGAAAUCCUGCCCAAAGGGAUUGACUGAGUGCUGGUGUGCUGCCAAGCUCCAGCUAGCCCAGGGGCCUGCAGAAACUUAAACAAGGAUUAUCUUAGGGCAGAAACCAAGCAAGAGCAGAUUCCUCUGGCAAGGCAGCAUAGCAUUUGCUGAGGAGUUGGCAUGGGCUUAUUGCUGCCUGACCUGAAGCAUGACCCUGUCCCAGUGGCCCAUGCCCUUAGGGGCACCCGAGGCUUUGAGCAGCCCAAGUCCUUACCUCCAUGACAGAGCCCAUGGGGCACCCAGCACACUCCCAGCAGCACAGGUCUGAGCUUUCUCCUCAGCCCGCUCUCCAGAAAUCUUGCUCUCAGGGCAUGGGAUACCUAUGGGGUGUGGCAAGGAUGGGGAGGAAAGCACACCUUAAAUCUAGAGCCCUGCCCAAAAGUCACUGUUUUUCUUAGAACCUGUCCUGACACAAAGGUUCAAGUUUCAGCAAUGUAACUACCAGGAAGAUAUUUUUCUUUAGGUUUGAAGCGGCUCUUUUCAAGCUCAUAUUGACUCACAAAGCAAUAUGACCAGAAAAACUGCUGACUUUCCAAGCAGCAACAGGUAGAAAAACAGGGAUUUGUUUUAACAAACAGCAGCACUGUGCUGGCUGCUCAUCAGCCUUUGGGCUAUGACAAUUUGCUUCAAGCACGCAGCAUCCCUGUUGCCACCUGAGGAGUUCUACACUAGUAUGAGUCACCCAAACCUCUGCACAUAAGGAUACCACACAGCCCAGGCUGACUUUCCCUCAGCCCAUCUCCUUUUGCUGUACACAUCAUGCUGAUGCAGCCACCUGAGUUCCCCAGUCCCUGCAAAAGCAAAGCAAGAUGAAGGCCUGUUAUAAAAACCAGAUUAUUCCCUUCACUAUGCAGACAGCAUUGCUGAGAGGUACUUUUUCUCCAUGCUGGUAACAGGGGAUGUUACCUUCAGUGCUUUUAUCAAGAGUCUUUUCCAGAAGCCGGGAGAACCAGAAGCUUCUGUGUCUACGAUGCACUGGGAGCUUGUUUGUAUUGUAGCCUUGGUGUUAGUCAGAGGAGGAGGCUGGGUGACACCAAAGAGGCAGUUGGUGCUGGCAGGAGGUCUUGCUGUCAGGAAUGGGGAAGGGGAGGAGACGUGGGAUUCCUCAUGUUGUUCAGUUACUUUCUAAGGAAUGAACAGGUUCAUCUCUCUUGGUACAGUGCAGGAUCUACUUGCAGCCCCCACAAAACAUUUCUAAGUGGCUGCAGAGGACUAGCUGUGUUGUUAGACACUCCCUGAGUAAGAGGGGAGAAGAAAUAAGGAAGACCAGCAGGAGUCAAGGCAUCAAUCCAAUCAGAUAACCUGCUGACAGAAGGCUGUAUCGCUGAGGCUUGCAAAUCAGCUGGCCCUGUCUCAAUACUGACUAGGCAUCAGGUGGCAGAGCUCACAUGCAAAGACUACUGCCUCCCAUGCAGGUUGUGGUAGUCACUCAAGUACAUCAGCAAUCACAGCUGAGCAGACUGUAAGAGAAGUAGAGAUGUGAAAUGCAUGCCAGGCCAGGAGUGACUGCCCACCAUGACUCCCCACACCUUCGCAAGUCCUCUUGAGUCAGGGCGUCAGACAAUUCUGUGGAAUUCAGCCUUAAGAGCUCAGUUUAUACUUAAAAUGGGAAAUAAGUGAAUUUUUGGAUCCCAAGAUGAACAAGCAGCUGCAAGCAGCUACCAACCUGAACCUGCUAGGGAAAGAACUAAACCUGAAGUAUUUUCAAGCUUAUCUGAAAGGAAGCUUGAUAUUUGAACUGAAACUUCAGUCUUCACAGUCAAAACAUACAGAAGGUCAUGAUGUAGUUUAUUUCUGGGCAAAACACUGGCACUAAUAAAUCUCUGGAAAAUACGGUGAAACCAAAAACUCAUAGGCUUCAAGACCUGAAUGAAUCAUUUCUGUUAUUCAGUCCAACUGCUUACAGAGUCCUGUGUAGAAGGAGUUUAUUCUUUUUAAGCUAAUCUAAUUUAAGGAACUGACUUUCAAUUUUCACGUUGUCAGGUCAGGAUUUAGGGUGUUUAGUUAGCAGCAAUUUGGAGAGCUUAAGAGCUGUUUGCAAUGUAGCUACUGCAAUGUGUGCUUUAUAGGAAAGCACUUCUUCCGUGUGUCUGCCGAGUAUUUCAGUAUUACAUUAAAGGUCUCCUUCCCUGCUUUGAACUCUGGAGAAUUCAGGGAUUGCCAGCACCAGGCUUAACCAUGGCUUAAGUCAAAAAACAACCACAGUUUAAGUUAAAAAAAAAAUAAUAAAAAAUGAACGACUUCUUUUCUGUUUUGUUUUGGAGAGGUAUCUAGGCUUGAAACUGUGAAGCAGUUGCAUGGCUACAUGCCACGAGGAAGUUCUCAGCAUAGUUGUUCACACAGCACUGACCUAUUUUUAGUAUAUGGUCAGGGAGUAUGAUUCUUCCUCCUCCUGCCCUCAGACUCUGUAAUGCCCUCCACUGCUAGGCAGGAUUCCAUAGGACUUUUCUGAACAGGAGUAAGGAUUUUCUUUGGCUGCUAAUGUGAAAACACACACAUAUAUUCAGAAUACAAAAAACAGGGCAGUACCAACCCAGUUUGGCCCCUUCUCAGUUUGAAUAUUGUUUGACAAUGAACAGAAAUAAGCAGAGAACUCAUUUUAAAUGAAAAGAGCAUCUCUGGCAAAAGUUCAGAUAAAGGUUUAAGAUUGCUGCCACCAUAAUCGUGUAAUAAUUGGAUAAAAGCAAUCAGUAACUCCAAUUGCAGUCUCACUGCAGUGCACUCGUGCACACAAUGAAGGGUUAUUGAUGAGUUGUAUGCAGUAAUCCCACACGUUUAUAUAAAGCACUGUUUUCAUG